CCCUAACACCAGCACCCUAACAUUGACACAGCACCCUAACACACACACAGCACCCUAACACCAGCACCCUAACAUUGACACAGAACCCUAACACACACAGCACCCUAACACCAGCACCCCAACACGCACACAGCACCCUAACACCAGCACCCUAACAUUGACACAGAACCCUAACACACACAGCACCCUAACACCAGCACCCUAACAUUGACACAGAACCCUAACACACACACAGCACCCUAACACC
Molecule: non-coding RNA, 247 nt
Organism: Pelobates cultripes (western spadefoot toad)
Lineage: Eukaryota; Metazoa; Chordata; Amphibia; Anura; Pelobatidae
Source: the annotation of a GenBank genome assembly